ACAAGUAGAUAAAGAUGUGUUAUGUUUAGUUAACGGGACAUGCACAAAAGGAUUGCCUAUCACACACGCUAGGCAAAAAGUCUCGUAGAAACAGAUGUCUGUGGCUAGAAGAAAAUAAGGGAGAGAAUAAGAGAGCACGUCACCAAUUGACUUGAAAGCCCAGAGGGCGUUAUUGUGUGGGAAAACAUGGAUAUUGACUGCAAAGUGAUUCAGAAGACUUACACUGAAUGUGAAAAAGCUUGGCAGAACAACCUAGCCAAUUUAUUUUGCUGUUUUCCUUUUUAGAUCUGUAUAAGAGUGAUAUAUGUGAUAGAUGUUUAAAUUAAUCUAAAAGGGCUCUUUCAAUAAGGAAACUAAUUGAGAGAAGUAUUGUGUCAUAUUUUAAUUAGGAACAUUCUUUUUCCUUAACGAUAUGUCAAAUGAUGACGUAUCUUACAACGAAAGGCAUCUCAGAUUUAAAGAAAUACAAGUUUCACACACUUGACCACAAUUGCCUUUUCUCUCAGAGUUUAAAUUUCAAUAAUCAUUGUUUCACUCUGAUAAUUCCUAACAUUAAGGUGUUUUACAUAAAAAAUAAAGUUUUGAAUUUGUUGAUUCUGCUUUUUAAGUUCUACAUUUUUUUAGGUCUGCCAACUCCAUGCCAUUCAUCUCCUAAUAAGAAAAAAACCAGUUCAUCUGCUCUAGCCACCAUACUUUAGAAUUUAGAAAGUUAAAUAAUAGAGAAAAUAUCAGGAGAGAGAUGGAAAUGAGGCAGAAAGAGUUAGGUCCAGACUCUGACAGCUGUUACUUCCCCUUUUCCUGUUUCAAGCAAUGGCAACCGCAAAACAUUUAAAAAACCUAGUAGCUGCUUUCACAAUGUUAUUGUAUUUAAUCCUGAGAAACCGGUCAAAGAGGCAUUAUUCUCUCUUUUCGACAAAUGAAGAGAGUGAGGUGAGAGAAAUUAAAUAACUCACCCAAGAAGAACAGGGUCAUCCAUGCUGGGACCUGGAAGGAGACAUCACCGCAGCCCCACUGAGCCAGCCUCUUUGGAAGCGCAGCUCCGCCACGUGCAUUGCAACACACAGCUGGGGGCAGAUUGUCGGAAAGUCAUUCUUCAGAAUAAUCCAUGCACUGUCUUCCAUGGACCUGAAGGUCUUCAGCUGAGAUCACCCUUGCCCAUCCGGGCCCCUGAGUGAGUCCUGCAAGGUCCCACUUGUCCAGGACGGAGGUUCAGAUCCUCAUUUAAGGAGAUUCCUGAUGCACUGAUGAGUCUGGGCUUUAUUCUGGAAUGGUCAUUAUAGUCUAACACAAAUAUGUCUGUGAACGGUAGCAAUAACGGGAAAUCUUCGCAGGGGACAGGCCCCCAGGACAUAGUUGCAUAUUUUUAGUUGUGGGUCCUUCUAGUUGUGGCAUGUGGGAGGCCGCCUCAGCAUGGCUUGAUGAGCGGUGCCAUGUCCGUGUCCAGGAUUCGAACUGGUGAAACCUGGGCCGCCGAAGCGGAGCGUGCGAACUUAACCACUUGGCCACAGGGCUGGCCCUCUCAUACAGUGGCAUGUCAUGAAGACCACAUGUCGUGUGAUGUCACAAUAGGUUGCAUGUAGAAGCAGGUAUGAGAAUCCAGCUGUCUUCUAUCAAGCCAGACGUUAAAUAGACUUUCAAAAGUGUAAAACAAU
This 1652-nucleotide long non-coding RNA is filed under the name Equus caballus (horse). RNAcentral describes it as "lncRNA (ENSECAG00000047820.1)". Lineage: Eukaryota; Metazoa; Chordata; Mammalia; Perissodactyla; Equidae. The record is from RNAcentral.